RNAcentral lists this small RNA (1546 nucleotides) under Pongo abelii (Sumatran orangutan). RNAcentral's name for it is "retained intron". The record is from RNAcentral. Lineage: Eukaryota; Metazoa; Chordata; Mammalia; Primates; Hominidae.
CAGCCAGGAGGCGGAGGUCUCCUGCCCCUUCAUUGACAACACCUACUCCUGCUCGGGCAAGCUGCUGGAGAGGGAGAUCAAGGCGCUCCUGACCCCUGAGGAUUACCAGCGAUUUCUAGACCUGGGCAUCUCCAUUGCUGAAAACCGCAGUGCCUUCAGCUACCAUUGCAAGACCCCAGAUUGCAAGGGAUGGUGCUUCUUUGAGGAUGAUGUCAAUGAGUUCACCUGCCCUGUGUGUUUCCACGUCAACUGCCUGCUCUGCAAGGCCAUCCAUGAGCAGAUGAACUGCAAGGAGUAUCAGGAGGACCUGGCCCUGCGGGCUCAGAACGAUGUGGCUGCCCGGCAGACGACAGAGAUGCUGAAGGUGAGGCUGGGACAGGGCCGAGGCCUAGGGAUUUUAAGUUCUGGGAUCCAGGUGGGGGCUGGGGGCUUCUCAGUAAGGGCUGUGCUCACACAUCCCUGGAGGCUCUGACCUCCCUUCUGGCUGUCACUCCCAUCUGGAGGUGGGACUUAGGCCAAAUGGUCAUGUCAGGAAGAGCGUCUAGGUGGAGGGUGGAGACACAGGAAUGAAGAGGGGGUUGCUGGAUGGAACCUGGCCUGGCAGAGCCGCACAGGAGAGACUCCACAGCUCUAGAGGGUCACCACCUUCUCCCUGGCAUGGGGAGGGGCCAGGCUGGGUGACUGCCCCAGCCCCGCCCCAAGGCCAGUGCCUGCCCCACUCCAGGUGAUGCUGCAGCAGGGCGAGGCCAUGCGCUGCCCCCAGUGCCAGAUCGUGGUGCAGAAGAAGGACGGCUGCGACUGGAUCCGCUGCACCGUCUGCCACACCGAGAUCUGCUGGGUCACCAAGGGCCCACGCUGGGGCCCUGGGGGCCCAGGAGACACCAGCGGGGGCUGCCGCUGCAGGGUAAAUGGGAUUCCUUGCCACCCAAGCUGUCAGAACUGCCACUGAGCUAAAGAUGGUGGGGCCACAUGCUGACCCAGCCCCACAUCCACAUUCUGUUAUGGGGCAGGGCUGGGCUUGGGGCUCUGGCUCCAACUUCUGGCUGGGAGAUGCUUUUGUGCAAAGGCCAAGUCCCUGAGCUUCGUGGACAGCCUUGCUUGCUGUAGCAUUGUAGGGGCCCUGCCUGCACUGCUGUUGUCCACGGUCACAUCUGCCCCAGUGCCUUUGUCCUUCCCUUGGGGCUUGCCGGCCAGACUUCUCUCCCCUGCAGCUCCCACCUCUGCCUGACCCCAGCCUUAAACAUAGCCCCUGGCCAGAGGCCUUGCUGAGUGGAGCCUCUGUGUGACUCCGUACUCCUCCCACCACAACACUCAUCUGUCGAACACCAAGCACUCUCAGCCUCCCCGCCUUCCCCUGUCAGCUUUCUGGGGCUAACUUCUCUGCCUUUGUGGUUGGAGGCCUGGGGCCUCUUAGAACUCUUGCUAACCUGUUCAGAGCGAGGAAGGAGAAUGCACAGUUUUGAAAGCACAGCCCGUCAGGUCCGGCUCUGCAUCUCCCUCUCUGUAGCCUGUGUAAGCUAUUAUAAUUAAAACGGUUUUCCGGGAA